Molecule: ribosomal RNA, 253 nt
Filed under: uncultured bacterium
Lineage: Bacteria
Description: partial 16S ribosomal RNA
Rfam family: Bacterial small subunit ribosomal RNA
Source: RNAcentral
UACGUAGGCAGCGAGCGUUGUUCGGAGUUACUGGGCGUAAAGGGUGCGUAGGCGGUUGUUUAAGUUUGGGGUGAAAUCUCCCGGCUCAACUGGGAGGGUGCGCCGAAUACUGAAUGACUAGAGUGCGGGAGAGGAUAGUGGAAUUCCUGGUGUAGCGGUGAAAUGCGUAGAUAUCAGGAGGAACACCGGUGGUGUAGACGGCUAUCUGGACCGUAACUGACGCUGAGGCACGAAAGCGUGGGUAGCAAACAGG